ACUCCUACGGGAGGCAGCAGUAGGAAGGUCUUCCGACAAUGGGCGAAAGCCUGAUGCAGCCAUGCCGCGUGUGUGAAGAAGGCCUUCGGUUGUAAAGCACUUUCAGUAGGGAGGAAGGUAGUGUAGUUAACACCUGCAUUAUUUGACGUUACCUACAGAAGAAGCACCGGCUAACUCCGUGCCAGCAGCCGCGGUAAUACGGAGGGUGCGAGCGUUAAUCGGAAUUACUGGGCGUAAAGCGCAUGCAGGCGGCCUGUUAAGUCAGAUGUGAAAGCCCGGGGGCUUAACCUCGGAAUUGCAUUUGAAACUGGCAGGCUAGAGUCUUGUAGAGGGGGUAGGAAUUUCAGGUGUAGCGGUGAAAUGCGUAGAGAUCUGAAGGAUACCAGU
This 387-nucleotide ribosomal RNA is filed under the name uncultured bacterium. Its description in RNAcentral is "bacterial SSU rRNA". It matches the Rfam family "Bacterial small subunit ribosomal RNA", at positions 335 to 713 of the family's 1533-position model. The record is from RNAcentral.